This 2983-nucleotide long non-coding RNA is filed under the name Capsicum annuum. RNAcentral describes it as "long non-coding RNA (CANN_LNC009328)". Lineage: Eukaryota; Viridiplantae; Streptophyta; Magnoliopsida; Solanales; Solanaceae. The record is from RNAcentral.
UCAAUAACAACUGAUUACAAAACUCUUGUAACCAAGAACUAGGAAUUAUAAACUCUAAUUCCUAUACCUCAAUAACUAGGAAUCAUAAACUUUAAUUCUUAUAAUUCAAUAACUAGGAAUCAUAAACUCUAAUUCCUAUAACUCAACAAUCACCUUGACUGUUGAACCCACUUCGAGUUAUCCCAAACUUGAAGUUAACUCAGCUCAGUAUUGUUCCUAAACAAUCAAUCUAGGAAAGCAAUAAAUUACAACUCAAUAAGAACAAUAUAUUUAAACUAACUCAUGAACUGUAAAGUUCUGUCCUGUGAAACAGGUUCGUCAAUCUGUUCCUUUGUACUGGCAGCAAUCGAAUCUUUAGUCAGAAUUCUCUCAAUUAUGAACUUUCUCAAUUUGCUAGUGUUUAGCCUUUUCUCUCUGUUAGUGCGCAAGUUAUUCCAAAUAAUACAUCUUCUAUUUAAGCACAGCUCUCCAAAGAGUCAUUUUUUAUUUCAAACUCCUCUUUUAAUCAGAACUCUCAUUUCAUAGAGUUCUACUUCAAGUGAACUCCUUCUUCAAUUCCAACUCUUAUCUCCUUAGUGUUGUAUUCAAACUCCAACACUUUAAAUCAAUUUAUCUUCAAGUAUUUUACUCAACCACAAACUUCUUCAAUUUCUCACGUGAUAAGUAACUUGAGUAUAUCAGAAUUAGACUCGCUCAUUCAUUCCUGACUUUAAGCAAUCUUUGUCUGCAUCUAUCAGUGAAACCUGAAACCUGUCUUCCUAUGCUUGAACCAACUCAAGUAACAUGGUCCAUUCAUGUGUCAGUCAUCAAAAACUUUAUUGAUCUAACAAAAAGUCCUUCAAUUUGUAUAUUUCCUAUCUUUCGUAGACUUCUUCAAUCUGCAGAAUAUUUCUCCUUCUAUACAUAAGACUCUUCAGGAUAUACUCAGAAGUGAAACUCCUUCUUUACAUAGGAUUCCUUUUUCAACUCAACUUGCUUUCCCUUAUCAUCAAGUGUUUGAAUCAAAUUCAACUUCUUCAAAUUAACACAUGUUUAUUUUCUUGAGUUUAUCAGAAUUAACCACUCAUUUGGUUCUUGAUUUCUUCCACCCUUGUCUUUAAUCAUCGAUGAUUUUGCUACAAGUUUCAGCUACAUGAGAUAGUGCGUCUGUGAACCAGCUUAACUGACAUGUUUCAUAUCACUUUGUCAGUUUAUCAAUCAUCAAAACUAUAUCGUACCCAACAACAUGUAUAGUAGUUUAAAGUAGUAAAUUAAAGAAAAAGUAGUAGAGCUAAUGCUUAAUUAAAAAGAGAUGGACCAACUUAACAUCACAUUACAUGACAUGCAAACAUUAAGAUCGAAUGGGCUAGUAUAUUAUAGUUUAUGUCAAAGAUACUAUGUUAAAAAUGCUAAGUAACUAAGAUACUAGCAUUAAUUAUUAAUUAACUUUCUUGGUGAUCAUUCCGUGGGAUACCUGGGCAAAUGAAAUGUUUCCACAGCCAUAUAAACAAGCAAAUAUACCUACAAUAUCAUAGUGAUACUAAUAUACAAGGUAAUAUGUUGCUAAGAAUAUAAUGUGAGAUUAUGAUAAUUUUGAAACCAAAUGAUAUAAUAUAAUUAUUAUCUGAACCAUGCAUGAUUAGAAAUUUACUUUAAACAAUUAUAUCUUAUCCUUUAAAUUUAACCUUUUCAUGUGUCACUAAUCCACAUAAGAAGACAAGAGAAAUAGAGAGGAGUCAGGAUUCACACUUAUUUAGGAAUAAAACUAAAACUCAAAAUGAGCAAAGAACGAAGAUAGUGUUGGGAAACAAUAGUAAAUAUCAUUAUCAAUUGAAAAUAAAUGUGUUAGGAAAGACGGGCACACAAUCAAAGAGCCCGACAGCGUAGCAGCGGAAAAUACCCAAGACUAAACUUUCUCUUUUAACUUGAACCAAGAGGAGACAAAUAAACCCAAGCAAAAUAGAGUAAUAUACAAUAAAUAAAUCAACCAAAUGAAACAAGAUAAGAAUAAAGGCAAUCACGCGACACACAAGAUUUACGUGGAAAACCCUUCAGUGUGAAAAGUAAAAAAUCACAGGACCAAAACCACCACUAUAAUCACCAAAGAUUUACAAUAUUGUCCUCCAAAAUGGCCACAAAACAAGUGUCAAACAACAAGAAACAAUACAUAAACUACAGCACCAAACACUAGAGAAAUAAAUGAGUGAAAGCACCAAAAACUCAGCUACUGUUCAGGAAUGAAGAACAGGAGCUACAGGCCACCAAAUCAAGAUCCGUCAGUUCCUAAUCAAAGAUUGAGAUUAGAGGAACAAGCAAUCCAAAAAUCAGCUCAAUCGGACAAGAAAUAAAGCGGGAAUCGCAAUUUGAAGUUGACAGCUAUGGCUGAAAUUUAGGUGCGAAAAUCAGCUUUGUUUUUCUCUCUUUGACUGCUGAAGACUCUCUUUUUGUGAUGGUGAAUAAGACCUAAAAAGAUCAAUAUAUAUUCCCCAUAGUAACGGGGCUAUGGGCAAAAGUGGGUUGGUCCAAAUUGGGUUUCAUUUUAUCCACAUAGAAAGGGAUAAAGGCCCAUGACCCAACAAAAUGAACUGCAGCAAUAAUAAUAAUUCUUCUAUAGUAGUAUCAACAAGUUACAAUAAUAAUAAUAACAACAACAAUAAUAAUAGUAAUGAUAAUGAUAAUAAUAAUAAUAAUAAUAAUAAUACUUAAAUCACUAUUAUAAUAUUUUAAGUAACAUAUAAAAUACUCGAGUCGUGUUAGACACUGUCUUAAGAAACUAUUUUCAUAAUGUGAAAUGUUUCUUCAGAAUUAAACAAACACUUCCCUGGUUAAUUAGAGGAUAUUCUGAGUUAAAUAAAUCUUUUCUAAUUAAUCAGAGAAUACAAAAAUCAACAAAAUUAUUAAUACAAAUAUCAACAAGUUAAACUAAAUUAUAGAACUCUUUAAUAAAUUAUAUAAUAAUAUAAUAAGGAUGAAAGAAGAAAAUUGAGGGAGUUGAAAAUUAAAG